RNAcentral lists this unclassified non-coding RNA (330 nucleotides) under soil metagenome. Its description in RNAcentral is "partial contains 5.8S ribosomal RNA, internal transcribed spacer 2, and large subunit ribosomal RNA". The stretch from base 1 to 120 matches the Rfam family "5.8S ribosomal RNA", at positions 35 to 154 of the family's 154-position model. The record is from RNAcentral.
GAUGAAGAACGCAGUGAAAUGCGAUAAGUAAUGUGAAUUGCAGAAUUCAGUGAAUCAUCGAAUCUUUGAACGCACAUUGCGCCCCCUGGUAUUCCGGGGGGCAUGCCUGUUCGAGCGUCAUUUCACCACUCAAGCCUCGCUUGGUAUUGGGCAACGCGGUCCGCCGCGUGCCUCAAAUCGACCGGCUGGGUCUUCUGUCCCCUAAGCGUUGUGGAAACUAUUCGCUAAAGGGUGUUCGGGAGGCUACGCCGUAAAACAACCCCAUUUCUAAGGUUGACCUCGGAUCAGGUAGGGAUACCCGCUGAACUUAAGCAUAUCAAUAAGCGGAGA